RNAcentral lists this ribosomal RNA (229 nucleotides) under uncultured bacterium. RNAcentral's name for it is "partial 16S ribosomal RNA". It matches the Rfam family "Bacterial small subunit ribosomal RNA", at positions 568 to 796 of the family's 1533-position model. The record is from RNAcentral.
CGUGUAGGCGGCUUGUUAAGUCAGAUGUGAAAACUGGGGGCUCAACCCGCAGCUUGCAUCUGAAACUGACAGGCUUGAGUCUGGUAGAGGAAAGUGGAAUUCCUAGUGUAGCGGUGAAAUGCGCAGAUAUUAGGAGGAACACCAGUGGCGAAGGCGGCUUUCUGGGCCACGACUGACGCUGAGACGCGAAAGCUAGGGGAGCAAACAGGAUUAGAUACCCUGGUAGUCC